RNAcentral lists this non-coding RNA (110 nucleotides) under Pedobacter nyackensis. RNAcentral describes it as "SAM-I sequence". It matches the Rfam family "SAM riboswitch aptamer (S box leader)". Rfam says of the family: The SAM riboswitch is found upstream of a number of genes which code for proteins involved in methionine or cysteine biosynthesis in Gram-positive bacteria. The SAM riboswitch acts at the level of transcription termination control. The predicted structure consists of a complex stem-loop region followed by a single stem loop terminator region. The record is from Rfam by way of RNAcentral. Lineage: Bacteria; Pseudomonadati; Bacteroidota; Sphingobacteriia; Sphingobacteriales; Sphingobacteriaceae.
GGCUUAUAGAGAAAGACGGAGGGAUUAGACCCUACGAAGUCUUGGCAACCUGUGCUUACAAGGUGCUAAAUUCUACUGGAACUGAACCAUUAGUUCCGGAAAGAUAAGUU